UCGGCUUGUAGCCCUUUUUUCUUUUGAGUCCAGGAUUGUGAUUCCUGUUGUCGUGGGUUCGAGUCCCAUCAGCCGCCCCA
RNAcentral lists this transfer RNA (80 nucleotides) under Pseudoduganella lutea. Its description in RNAcentral is "Massilia lutea tRNA-His". The record is from RNAcentral. Lineage: Bacteria; Pseudomonadati; Pseudomonadota; Betaproteobacteria; Burkholderiales; Oxalobacteraceae.